This 517-nucleotide ribosomal RNA is filed under the name uncultured bacterium. Its description in RNAcentral is "bacterial SSU rRNA". It matches the Rfam family "Bacterial small subunit ribosomal RNA", at positions 40 to 577 of the family's 1533-position model. The record is from RNAcentral.
CGGCGGCAACCAUGCAGUCGAGCGAUGAAACUUCCUUCGGGAAGUGGAUUAGCGGCGGACGGGUGAGUAACACGUGGGCAACCUGCCUCAAAGAGGGGGAUAGCCUCCCGAAAGGGAGAUUAAUACCGCAUAACAUUAUUUUUCCACAUGGAAAGAUAAUCAAAGGAGUAAUCCGCUUUGAGAUGGGCCCGCGGCGCAUUAGCUAGUUGGUGGGGUAACAGCCUACCAAGGCAACGAUGCGUAGCCGACCUGAGAGGGUGAUCGGCCACAUUGGAACUGAGAUACGGUCCAGACUCCUACGGGAGGCAGCAGUGGGGAAUAUUGCGCAAUGGGGGAAACCCUGACGCAGCAACGCCGCGUGAGUGAUGAAGGUUUUCGGAUCGUAAAGCUCUGUCGUUAGGGACGAUAAUGACGGUACCUAAUGAGGAAGCCACGGCUAACUACGUGCCAGCAGCCGCGGUAAUACGUAGGUGGCAAGCGUUGUCCGGAAUUACUGGGCGUAAAGAGUAUGUAGGCG